RNAcentral lists this ribosomal RNA (329 nucleotides) under uncultured eukaryote. Its description in RNAcentral is "partial 18S ribosomal RNA". It matches the Rfam family "Eukaryotic small subunit ribosomal RNA", at positions 1470 to 1796 of the family's 1831-position model. The record is from RNAcentral.
CCCUUAGAUGUUCUGGGCCGCACGCGCGCUACACUGAUGCAUUCAACGAGUCUAAAACCUGCUCUGAUAGGGGUGGGUAAUCUUUUGAAUGUGCAUCGUGAUUGGGAUAGAUGAUUGCAAUUUUUCAUCUUCAACGAGGAAUGCCUAGUAAACGCAAGUCAUCAGCUUGCGUUGAUUACGUCCCUGCCCUUUGUACACACCGCCCGUCGCUCCUACCGAUUGAAUGGUCCGGUGAAGCGUUCGGACCGUGGCCUUUGGACGGUUCGCCGUCUGUUGGCUGCGGGAAGUUCGUUAAACCUUAUCAUUUAGAGGAAGGAGAAGUCGUAACA